This 256-nucleotide small nuclear RNA is filed under the name Oryctolagus cuniculus (rabbit). Its description in RNAcentral is "7SK RNA". It matches the Rfam family "7SK RNA". From Rfam's summary of the family: 7SK was discovered as an abundant small nuclear RNA in the mid-70s but a possible function has only recently been suggested. Two independent studies have found that 7SK RNA binds the CDK9/cyclin T complex (known as elongation factor P-TEFb). The record is from Rfam by way of RNAcentral. Lineage: Eukaryota; Metazoa; Chordata; Mammalia; Lagomorpha; Leporidae.
AGACAGCAGGGUAAUAUGGCUGUGACAUCUGUCACCCUAUAGAUUGCCAGGCUGAUCUUGCUGGCAUCCCCUUCCUCCCUCAGUGUUCCAUGUGCACAUCUCUACAAAUAGGAAUUAAGGUAGAAGACUAACCUUCCCUACUGAGGGAAGCUUCCAGAAUCUCCUGAUAAGGUCUCAAGGUCCAUAAAUAGGAAAACAUAGGGUAACAAAACUCUAACACAUCUAAAUGAGGCACUGCAUGGGGGAGCCAACCUUU